RNAcentral lists this long non-coding RNA (6199 nucleotides) under Daucus carota (carrot). Its description in RNAcentral is "long non-coding RNA (DCAR_LNC006275)". Lineage: Eukaryota; Viridiplantae; Streptophyta; Magnoliopsida; Apiales; Apiaceae. The record is from RNAcentral.
UAAUCUCAAACCCUAACUCACACUCACAGAACUAACAGAGCAAGAUAUGUGAAAUUAAAAGGAAAUAGUAAUGGAAAACGGACUAAUUCACCAAGUAUCACUUGUUACAGAGCACGCAACCUGGGCGAUUCGAGAGCCCCAGACCUCUCCCAAAAGUUCACUACACAGCAAUUCGAUAAAAGAUCCCCUUUCUCUACUGACUUUUAUCUAAAACCCUACGACCCGGACCAUUACUUUCUACGACCCGACCCAACUCCUUUUUUAGUUCUUUCCCAAACUGCCCUUGCUCCCCUGUUUCUUCUUUUGUCUUGUAAAAACCUUUACCACCUUUGACUGUUGACCAGUAUUCGUUACAUUACCCGCCUCCCAACGACUGACCUUGUCCUCAAGGUGAAAAUCCGGGAACCGCCUGUUUAUCAUCUCAGCCUCCUCCCAAGUUGCUUCAAACUCUGGCAAUUCGUUCCAUUUCAGCAAUACCUCCAGAUGGCCAGUACCAGGAGCACCUUUAGUUCGCACUGCUAGCACUUGUUCUGGGAACACAUUCAUCUCCAACUCUGAGUUCAACUGGGCAGGAAUUGUGGGGUGUGAAGGUUGAGUUCCCAAUGCCUUUUUUAAUUGUGAUACAUGGAACACAGGGUGCAGCUUGCUCUCUGCAGGCAAAUCGAGCUUGUAAGCUACCUUUCCAAUGCGGGAUAACACCUGAAAUGGACCAUAGAACUUUGCUGCUAAUUUCUCAAACGGCCGCCUGGCCAACGACUUCUGACGAUAUGGCUGGAGUUUGAGGUAUACCCAGUCCCCCACUUCAAAUUCCUCAUCACGUCUUUUAGUAUCAGCAGCCAAUUUCAUCCGCUGCUGUGCCCGUAAUAAAUUCACCCGCAAUUCGUCCACAAUAGCAUCACGUUCCUGCAGAAUUUCUUCCACACUGUGGACAACAGUUACCCCAUGUGGCACACGAACCAGAGGAGGAGGGUCUCGCCCAUAAACCAAUUUAAAUGGUGUGAACCGUGAAGAAGAGUGGGAGGAAGUGUUGUACGAGAAUUCCGCCCAGGGCAACCACUUGGCCCACUGCUUGGGAUGAGCAGAGGCAUAACAGCGUAAAUAUGUCUCAAGAGACUUAUUAAGAAUCUCAGUUUGGCCAUCUGUUUGCGGAUGGUACGAAGUACUUCUUUUCAACUCGGUGCCCUGGAGUUUAAAGAGCUCCUGCCAGAAAUGACUGAGGAAAAUUCUGUCUCUGUCUGAUACAAUGGAGGACGGAAACCCAUGGAGACGUACAAUCUCUUUUACAAACGCUUCAGCAACUGUCACGGCAGUAAACGGAUGUCUUAAUCCAAUAAAGUGACAGUACUUCGUCAUCCUGUCUACUACUACCAACACAGUAUCAAUACCUCGCGACAAGGGCAAACCCUCAAUAAAAUCUAGGGAAAUGUCGCUCCAGAUUGAUGUCGGAAUAGUGAGGGGUUGAAGUAACCCGGCUGGCAGCUUCUGGGAACUUUUCUGUUGCUGACACACUAUGCAAACCCGGACAAACUCAGCCACAUCUUUUCGCAUCCCUGACCAUUGCCACUCACUUGCCAGUCGAAGGUAAGUUUUCAGUUCCCCGGCAUGCCCCCCAACUGGGCUACAAUGAUAUUCGCGUAACAGCAUGUCCUUGAACUUGGACGACUUUGGAAUUACCACUCGACCACGACACAACAAACGUCCUUCCACCACUGUAAACCCAUCUAAUUGAGCCUGACCUUGAACAAUGUUCUCAAUAAUACGUCGUAACACCGGAUCAGCUUGGACCUCCUUAUCGAGCUCCUUCCAGUCCCACCCCAUAGUCGUCAACAAUGAGCCCAGUUCUACUUCACCCACAGAUUUUCGGGAUAAAGCAUCAGCCACCAAAUUAGAACGCCCUGGCUUAAAUUGCACAUCGAAAGAAUAUCCCAUUAACUUGCUCACCCACUUUUGGUAAUCUCCACCAACCUCUGUUUGUUGAGUAAUAUGCCGGAGGCUUUGCUGGUCCGUUCUGACAAUAAAGUGGCGACCCAACAGAUAAUAUUUCCAUCGUUGUAUGGCUAGACAUACGGCCAUAAGUUCUUUCUCAUAGAUGGACUUCUGCCGUGCCCUGGUGCCCAACAAUUUACUGAAGAACGCGAUAGGUUUGUUAUCUUGCAUGAGUACUGCUCCUACCCCAUACCCGGAUGCAUCAGUCUCCAGUACAAACGGUUUACCAAAAUUCGGCAUAGCUAGAACAGGCGGAUGAGUCAUCGCAGCCUUCAAGGAAUUAAACGCCUGUGUAGCCUCAGCAGACCAGCCAAAGUUAUCCUUUCGCAAUUGAUCAGUCAAGGGCCCUGCUAUUUGGGCGUAACCAGCUACAUAUUUUCUGUAAUACCCCGUUAGCCCUAAAAAUCCCCGUAAUUCCUUGAGGGACUUGGGUAUUUCCCACUCCAAAACUGCUUUAAUCUUCUCAUUAUCUACUGCCACCCCUUGUGCUGAAAUGAUAUGGCCCAAAUAGGCUACCUCUGAUUUUCCGAAAGCACAUUUCUUCAAGUUGGCAAACAAACUAUGACUCUCCAAUGUUGCCAGGACCACUGCCAAGUGCUGCUGAUGCUCAGCUUCAGUUUUACUAUACACGAGGAUAUCAUCGAAGAAAACCAAAACGUACUUCCGUAAGUAAGGGCGGAAUACGUCGUUCAUCAAGGAUUGGAAUGUUGCGGGUGCAUUCAUAAGCCCGAAGGGCAUCACAAGGAACUCAUAGUGGCCAUCAUGCGUACGAAACGCUGUUUUGUGAGUGUCCUCGGGGCGGACUAGAAUCUGGUGGUAUCCCGCACGCAGAUCUAAUUUAGAGAAAACCCGAGCACCGUAAAGUUCAUCUAGGAGUUCUUCAAUCACUGGUAUCGGGUACUUGUCAGGUAUCGUAUCCUUGUUCAAGGCUCUAUAAUCGACACAGAACCUCCAUGAGCCGUCCUUCUUACGAACCAAGAGAACAGGACUUGAGAAUGGGCUUGUAGACGGCUUUAUAAUCCCGGCAGCAAGCAUAUCUCGAAUCAUACGUUCAAUUUCGUCCUUCUGGCUAUGGGGGUACCUGUAAGGUCUUACCCCAACUGGAUUACUACCCUCGCGUAAAGUAAUUGCAUGAUCAUGAUUCCGAGGGGGAGGGAGUCCUGUAGGUUCAGCGAAAACAGAAGAGUGCUGUUGCAGCACUGUUUCCAGAAAUGCAGGAAUCUCAGCUCCUAGUGGUGGUGUGGGCACGGCAUCCACCUUUUCUACUUGCUGUAUUUCGAUCCAAUACCCCUGCUUCUCCUUUCGAAGUGUUCGUAGCAUAGUCUUGAGGGACACCUGAGACCUGACCAAUGACUGAUCCCCUAUCAACGUGACAACCUUAUCUCCCACCUUGAAUUGCAUUAUUUGUGUCUUCCAAUUUGUGGUAACAGGUCCCAAUUGUUCGAGCCACUGUACGCCCAGAAUAAUAUCAGUAGUCCCUAAUUCCAAUGGCAAAAAAUCAUCUCGUACCACAAUACCACCAUCCAGUUGCAACACAACGUCUUUGCAAAUACCCUUGCCCUUCACAGUGUCACCAUUUCCCAAGGAUACGCCGAACCCUCCUUCAUCUGUUAUAGGCAACUGCAACUCCAAAGCUUUAGUGAGUGACACGAAAUUGUGGGUAGCUCCCGGAUCAAUUAAAACAAUCACCGCCUUGUCCCCUAACAGCCCUUUUAACUUCAUUGUUUUAGGAUUGGAUAAACCUACUACAGAAUUGAGGGAAACCUCAGGCUGUCCCCUAAUUUCGCCAUGGUCGUCCUCCGUGGGUGAUGGAGGGGGUUCACUGCCAGCAUUCUCAGACCCUUCCCCAUCCUCAUCGUCCAUCAGUAAUACACUUAGUUCACGACGUUUACAACGAUGCCCAGCAACCCAUUUGUCGUCACAUUUAAAACACAGACCCUUGGCACGUUUCUCCUGCAACUCUUUUUCCGACAAACGCUUUACCUCACCCCCAGUCUUGAAUCCACUCUGCCCUGAGUACUUAGGCAUUGUAACAGAAGAUUGUGAGUCGCUGGCGCCUAUUGACCAGUUUUUGACAGCCACGGAUGGAGGCACAGACACCAAGGAUGACACAGCUGAAGGAACUGAGCCCUUGGAAGUGUACGACGCUGUGCUUGAUUUGUACCAACUAACCCCAGAUUUCUUUGUUGUCAUCAAUGUAUUCCGUUCCUCAACACGUAAGGCCAUCUCCAUUGCUUGUUCUAGAUUCAGAGGGCUUAACAAUCUCACUUCAGCCUUAAUAUCAUCUCGCAACCCAUUAAGGAAUUGCCCUAACAACACCUCUUCCGAGAGUCGAUCCAAUGGUGCCGCAGUCUCUAUGAACUUCCUUUGAUACUCCCCAACACUGUUAGUCUGAGCUGUGGCAAGCCAUUGCUCAUACAACGACCCCCCACACAUGGGUCGAAACUGGCGUAAAACGAAAACCUUAAGGUCAGCCCACCUCCGAAUUGGGUGCCUCUUGUUUUCCCACAAGUACCAGCGUAGGGCGUCGCCCUCUAACGCAACCACUACAGCCUCCAAGCGCUCCUCCUCCGAUAAUUUGUAAAACCCAAAAUACCUCUCCACUCGCAUAAUCCACCCAUCAGGGUCGGAGCCAUCAAACAAGGGCAUGUCUAACUUCCGAUAUCGCCAAUGCCCUGGACCACCACCGGACCCUCCGCCACCAUAGUUUCCCCUGUCGUGUGGUGAAAACCCAAACACACUGCCGCUCACAAGCCCAUUGUGCGGGGUGUGGGGUGGACCACGAGACCCAGAAUCACCAUUAUUCACACUUGGUUCAGGUGGGUGGUGAAGCAGCGACUGAAAACCCGUCAAGGUAGAGCGAAUCUCAGCCUGAAAAUUGUCCUGAUCUGUUUUUACCGAGUGAAGGAGCGAGUCAUGAUGUUCACGUACCCGAUUAAUCCGCCCUUCAAGCCGCGAGACUAACGAUUCCAUUUCACCCAUGUGCUUUUGAGCUGUGGCCGCCUGACCCUCCAGCAACAGAUCCACCAAUGACUGUUUCAUGACCCCCACAGCCUUCUCAACGGAGACUGCAACCAACGCCGACAACUUCGCUUCAAGACCCCCAAACGCAUCUUCCAAUUCCUCAACCCUUUGCGAUACGGAUGGAUUCGUAGGUGCCAUGGAUCGUAUCGCUCUGAUACCACUUGUAAAGAACUGUGAUGUAAUCUCAAACCCUAACUCACACUCACAGAACUAACAGAGCAAGAUAUGUGAAAUUAAAAGGAAAUAGUAAUGGAAAACGGACUAAUUCACCAAGUAUCACUUGUUACAGAGCACGCAACCUGGGCGAUUCGAGAGCCCCAGACCUCUCCCAAAAGUUCACUACACAGCAAUUCGAUAAAAGAUCCCCUUUCUCUACUGACUUUUAUCUAAAACCCUACGACCCGGACCAUUACUUUCUACGACCCGACCCAACUCCUUUUUUAGUUCUUUCCCAAACUGCCCUUGCUCCCCUGUUUCUUCUUUUGUCUUGUAAAAACCUUUACCACCUUUGACUGUUGACCAGUAUUCGUUACACUCUUGAUAUACUAGAGUUUGAGAUAUACACACGUUCUAUAAGUGGUUUAUUUGUAUUCUGCAAUAAUAUUUCAAAUACAUCUUAGUUAAAAUUAAUAAAAUUUUGAAAGAGAGAUCACGUGAGAAUUAAAAGAACUGACCAAUAAGGAAGAGGGGACACACGGGGAGACACAAAGAGGGGAUAGAGGAUCCGGACUCUCUUCUUCCCGUGCCAGUUACUCUGUAAAAUAUGAUCAAUCACUGUCGUGCGUUGAGGGACUCGGUGUUAGAAUCAUUCCUUCCAGGUGAUAUUUAACUUCCUUUUUUACAAAGCAAGACUGUAUUUUGAUUGUGAAUUUUUUUGACUUUUAUAUCAAACUGGCCACCCGUUGCAUCAAAAUGUUUCAUUUGACCCACCUAUCUCAUCGGCGACUCAUUUAAACCACAAUAAAUCAAAUAUAUAUCAUUUUACCCACAUCACUAUUUAUAUCUCUUUACUUAAUCAUUUAUCAAAAAUCAACCGUUUAUUUUUUUACUACAAAACCACUUCGAGUACUUUCAUAAUUGUCUCUAGUAUUUAUCAAAAUAAUCUGGAAAUUUCUAAAACAACAUUGCUAUAUAUAUAAAAUAUAUAUAGCUAUAAAUAUAUUUUUAUUUGAUCACUCUAGCUAUGUCG